UAGGGAGGGACAUAGGCAAAUCCGUGUCCCACAUAUCCUGAGAGGUGAUGCGUAGCCGUAGCGGCGAAAUCCAUGAUCCUAUGCUGCCGAGAAAAGCCUCUAGCGAGCUGGUACAUGGCCCGUACCCCAAACCGACACAGGUGGUCAGGUAGAGAAUACUAAGGCGAUCGAGAUAACUGUGGUUAAGGAACUCGGCAAAAUGCCCCCGUAACUUCGGGAGAAGGGGGACCAGCCCUGGUGACGACAUUUACUGUUUGAGCUGGGGUUGGUCGCAGAGACCAGAGAGAAGCGACUGUUUACUAAAAACACAGGUCCGUGCGAAGUCGUAAGACGAUGUAUACGGACUGACGCCUCCCCGGUGCUGGAAGGUUAAGAGGACCGGUUAGCUACUUCGGUGGCGAAGCUGAGAAUUUAAGCCCCAGUAAACGGCGGUGGUAACUAUAACCAUCCUAAGGUAGCGAAAUUCCUUGUCGGGUAAGUUCCGACCUGCACGAAUGGCGUAACGACUUCUCUGCUGUCUCAACCACAGACUCGGCGAAAUUGCAGUACGAGUAAAGAUGCUCGUUACGCGCGGCAGGACGAAAAGACCCCGGGACCUUCACUAUAGCUUGGUAUUGGUGUUCGGUUCGGUUUGUGUAGGAUAGGUGGGAGACUGUGAAACCCGCACGCCAGUGUGGGUGGAGUCAUUGUUGAAAUACCACUCUGACCGUAUUGGACUUCUAACCUCGGACCAUGAUCUGGUUCAGGGACAGUGCCUGGUGGGUAGUUUAACUGGGGCGGUUGCCUCCUAAAAAGUAACGGAGGCGCCCAAAGGUUCCCUCAGCCUGGUUGGCAAUCAGGUGUUGAGUGUAAGUGCACAAGGGAGCUUGACUGUGAGACGUACAUGUCGAGCAGGGACGAAAGUCGGGACUAGUGAUCCGGCACCGGCAAGUGGAAGCGGUGUCGCUCAACGGAUAAAAGGUACCCCGGGGAUAACAGGCUGAUCUUCCCCAAGAGUCCAUAUCGACGGGAUGGUUUGGCACCUCGAUGUCGGCUCGUCGCAUCCUGGGGCUGGAGUAGGUCCCAAGGUUGGGCUGUUCGCCCAUUAAAGCGGCACGCGAGCUGGGUUUAGAACGUCGUGAGACAGUUCGGUCUCUAUCCGCCGCGCGCGUAAGAAACUUGAGGAAACCUGUCCCUAGUACGAGAGGACCGGGACGGACGAACCUCUGGUGUGCCAGUUGUUCCACCAGGAGCACCGCUGGUUAGCUACGUUCGGAAGGGAUAACCGCUGAAAGCAUCUAGGCGGGAAGCCUGUUCCAAGAUGAGGUUUCUCACCACCUAGCGUGGUUAAGGCCCCCCA
This 1339-nucleotide ribosomal RNA is filed under the name metagenome. RNAcentral describes it as "bacterial LSU rRNA". It matches the Rfam family "Bacterial large subunit ribosomal RNA", at positions 1521 to 2840 of the family's 2925-position model. The record is from RNAcentral.